Molecule: unclassified non-coding RNA, 273 nt
Filed under: Hevea brasiliensis (rubber tree)
Lineage: Eukaryota; Viridiplantae; Streptophyta; Magnoliopsida; Malpighiales; Euphorbiaceae
Source: RNAcentral
UUUGAGGUUUAGCUUCGAAUUCGAAAAAACCAUCAUCAAUAAAGUAAUCAGAAAUUGAGAUGGCAGAAUCAGAGGUGGAAGUCUGGGAGCAUUCAGACUCACAGUGAGAACUUGGGAGAUGGAUGGUGGUUAGAGAAGAGGUAGCGGUAGAAGAUGAAGCAACAGGUGAAAGGAGAUCGCCGAGCAAAUGUUGUUUGAUGAGGUCCAAGGCAGAUGCUAGUUGAGUUGCUGCAGCCAUUUGAGUAUCAGUUGAAAUCUUUUUAAGAGGAAGAG